RNAcentral lists this ribosomal RNA (440 nucleotides) under uncultured bacterium. Its description in RNAcentral is "partial 16S ribosomal RNA". It matches the Rfam family "Bacterial small subunit ribosomal RNA", at positions 338 to 795 of the family's 1533-position model. The record is from RNAcentral.
CCUACGGGAGGCAGCAGUGGGGGAUAUUGCACCAUGGGGGAAACCCUGAUGCAGCGACGCCGCGUGUGGGAAGACGGUCCUCUGGAUUGUAAACCACUGUCCCCAGGGACGAAGAUGACGGUACCUGGGGAGGAAGCUCCGGCUAACUACGUGCCAGCAGCCGCGGUAAUACGGAGGGAGCGAGCGUUGUCCGGAAUUACUGGGUGUAAAGGGAGCGUAGGCGGGACUGCAAGUUGGGUGUCAAAUCUACCGGCUCAACCGGUAGCCGCACUCAAAACUGCAGUGCUGGAGUGAAGUAGAGGCAGGCGGAAUGCCUAGUGUAGCGGUGAAAUGCGUAGAUAUUAGGCGGAACACCAGUGGCGAAGGCGGCCUGCUGGGCUUGUACUGACGCUGAGGCUCGAAAGUGUGGGGAGCAAACAGGAUUAGAUACCCUUGUAGUC